This 253-nucleotide ribosomal RNA is filed under the name uncultured bacterium. RNAcentral's name for it is "partial 16S ribosomal RNA". It matches the Rfam family "Bacterial small subunit ribosomal RNA", at positions 524 to 776 of the family's 1533-position model. The record is from RNAcentral.
UACGUAGGGGGCAAGCGUUGUCCGGAAUCAUUGGGCGUAAAGCGCGCGUAGGCGGCCCGGUAAGUCCGUUGUGAAAGUCAAAGGCUCAACCUUUGAACGCCGAUGGAUACUGCCGGGCUAGAGUCCGGAAGAGGCGAGUGGAAUUCCUGGUGUAGCGGUGGAAUGCGCAGAUAUCAGGAGGAACACCAAUAGCGAAGGCAGCUCGCUGGGACGGUACUGACGCUGAGGCGCGAAAGCGUGGGGGGCGAACAGG